UAAUACGUAGGGGGCUAGCGUUGUCCGGAAUCAUUGGGCGUAAAGAGCGUGUAGGCGGCCCGGUAAGUCCGCUGUAAAAGUCAAAGGCUCAACCUUUGAAUGUCAGUGGAUACUGCCGGGCUAGAGUCCGGAAGAGGCGAGUGGAACUCCUGGUGUAGCGGUGGAAUGCGCAGAUAUCAGGAAGAACACCAACGGCGAAGGCAGCUCGCUGGGACGGUACUGACGCUGAGACGCGAAAGCGUGGGGAGCGAACAGGAUUAGAUACCCUGGUAGUCCACGCCGUAAACGAUGGGCACUAGGUGUGGGAGGUGUCGACUCCUCCCGUGCCGGCGCUAACGCAUUAAGUGCCCCGCCUGGGGAGUACGGCCGCAAGGCUA
RNAcentral lists this ribosomal RNA (377 nucleotides) under uncultured bacterium. RNAcentral describes it as "bacterial SSU rRNA". It matches the Rfam family "Bacterial small subunit ribosomal RNA", at positions 521 to 896 of the family's 1533-position model. The record is from RNAcentral.